Molecule: ribosomal RNA, 465 nt
Filed under: uncultured bacterium
Lineage: Bacteria
Description: partial 16S ribosomal RNA
Rfam family: Bacterial small subunit ribosomal RNA
Source: RNAcentral
CUACGGGUCGCUCCAGUGAGGAAUUUUGCGCAAUGGGGGGAACCCUGACGCAGCAACGCCGCGUGAGUGAAGAAGGCCUUUGGGUCGUAAAGCUCUGUCAACAGGGAAGAAGUUACUUCAUAUUAAUAGUGUGUAGUAUUGACGGUACCUGUGGAGGAAGCAUCGGCUAACUCCGUGCCAGCAGCCGCGGUAAUACGGGGGAUGCAAGCGUUAUUCGGAAUCAUUGGGCGUAAAGGGCACGCAGGCGGCUCUGUCAGUCAGAUGUGAAAGCCCGGGGCUCAACCCCGGACGUGCAUUUGAAACAGCAGAGCUUGAGUACGGUAGAGGAAAGCGGAAUUCCUGGUGUAGAGGUGAAAUUCGUAGAUAUCAGGAGGAACACCGGUGGCGAAGGCGGCUUUCUGGACCGAAACUGACGCUGAGGUGCGAAGGCGUGGGUAGCGAACAGGAUUAGAUACCCUUGUAGUC